Molecule: long non-coding RNA, 219 nt
Filed under: Nicotiana benthamiana
Lineage: Eukaryota; Viridiplantae; Streptophyta; Magnoliopsida; Solanales; Solanaceae
Description: long non-coding RNA (NBEN_LNC007974)
Source: RNAcentral
GAAUAUUCUCAUCCGCUCUUUCCAAUAUGUAUAGUUUGUUCCGUCAAAUAGUGGAGGGCUAUUGGUGGAGUGUCCUUCGCUCAUCAUUCCUGCGUUCAACAUUCUCAAAAAAUAUAUAUAUAUAUCGUGCUCUCAACCGGUUAAGGCUUUCAGGGAGUUAGGCUCUGAUACCAAUUGUUAGGUUUUAUGCCCGUCACUAGAGGGGGGUGAAUAGUGCNN